AUUUUGGUAAAACAACUUUUUUCUGAGCAGUACCUCCUUUAUUGGUUGAAACUCAAAUAAUAUGGCGGUGGUAAUAACAUUCAGGGGAACUUACCUAUUAAUUGAUAAUCACCAAGAGAAUCUACCUAAGCUUACAGAAAGUAUACCGCCGUCUUCAAAGAACUUUAUUUUCUAAUGUUCAACAAGUAUUUACAUCCCACUAUAAGUCAGGCCAUGGCGCUUCCAACUGUUUAGGGUUAAGGCGAGUUACAAUAUAAACUACCAUUCAGAUAUAGCUUUUGCAAGCUACUUAAAGGAGGACUUGAAAGUAAUUUUACAAUCUUAUCUUAAUCAAAUAAAUAUUGAAUAAAUUAUAUUACCGUGC
Molecule: ribosomal RNA, 364 nt
Filed under: Subulina octona
Lineage: Eukaryota; Metazoa; Mollusca; Gastropoda; Stylommatophora; Subulinidae
Description: partial 12S ribosomal RNA
Source: RNAcentral